This 300-nucleotide unclassified non-coding RNA is filed under the name fungal sp. RNAcentral's name for it is "partial internal transcribed spacer region". The stretch from base 1 to 46 matches the Rfam family "Eukaryotic small subunit ribosomal RNA", at positions 1786 to 1831 of the family's 1831-position model. RNAcentral also lists the same sequence under 1 other name. The record is from RNAcentral. Lineage: Eukaryota; Fungi.
AAGUCGUAACAAGGUCUCCGUAGGUGAACCUGCGGAGGGAUCAUUAAAACGUAUCCACGUAUAAACCUUUGUGAACUUGUUUAACACUAAACAAUACCGAAUUUGAAUGAUGGCGCGCCAGACUGUAGGAGCAAUCAGGAGUAGUUCUUUUACGGUUAGCUAUCAUUCGGGUCUCCUAUUUUUACAACUAUUAUUCACCCUAUUUAAACUUUAUUGUACUAACGAGUUCAACGCUAACGCGUUCUACUUGAAAAAUAAGAAAUUAACGCACAACUCUUAGCAACGGAUAUCUAGGCUCUC